RNAcentral lists this ribosomal RNA (1489 nucleotides) under Lactiplantibacillus plantarum. RNAcentral describes it as "bacterial SSU rRNA". It matches the Rfam family "Bacterial small subunit ribosomal RNA". The record is from RNAcentral. Lineage: Bacteria; Bacillati; Bacillota; Bacilli; Lactobacillales; Lactobacillaceae.
GACGAACGCUGGCGGCGUGCCUAAUACAUGCAAGUCGAACGAACUCUGGUAUUGAUUGGUGCUUGCAUCAUGAUUUACAUUUGAGUGAGUGGCGAACUGGUGAGUAACACGUGGGAAACCUGCCCAGAAGCGGGGGAUAACACCUGGAAACAGAUGCUAAUACCGCAUAACAACUUGGACCGCAUGGUCCGAGUUUGAAAGAUGGCUUCGGCUAUCACUUUUGGAUGGUCCCGCGGCGUAUUAGCUAGAUGGUGAGGUAACGGCUCACCAUGGCAAUGAUACGUAGCCGACCUGAGAGGGUAAUCGGCCACAUUGGGACUGAGACACGGCCCAAACUCCUACGGGAGGCAGCAGUAGGGAAUCUUCCACAAUGGACGAAAGUCUGAUGGAGCAACGCCGCGUGAGUGAAGAAGGGUUUCGGCUCGUAAAACUCUGUUGUUAAAGAAGAACAUAUCUGAGAGUAACUGUUCAGGUAUUGACGGUAUUUAACCAGAAAGCCACGGCUAACUACGUGCCAGCAGCCGCGGUAAUACGUAGGUGGCAAGCGUUGUCCGGAUUUAUUGGGCGUAAAGCGAGCGCAGGCGGUUUUUUAAGUCUGAUGUGAAAGCCUUCGGCUCAACCGAAGAAGUGCAUCGGAAACUGGGAAACUUGAGUGCAGAAGAGGACAGUGGAACUCCAUGUGUAGCGGUGAAAUGCGUAGAUAUAUGGAAGAACACCAGUGGCGAAGGCGGCUGUCUGGUCUGUAACUGACGCUGAGGCUCGAAAGUAUGGGUAGCAAACAGGAUUAGAUACCCUGGUAGUCCAUACCGUAAACGAUGAAUGCUAAGUGUUGGAGGGUUUCCGCCCUUCAGUGCUGCAGCUAACGCAUUAAGCAUUCCGCCUGGGGAGUACGGCCGCAAGGCUGAAACUCAAAGGAAUUGACGGGGGCCCGCACAAGCGGUGGAGCAUGUGGUUUAAUUCGAAGCUACGCGAAGAACCUUACCAGGUCUUGACAUACUAUGCAAAUCUAAGAGAUUAGACGUUCCCUUCGGGGACAUGGAUACAGGUGGUGCAUGGUUGUCGUCAGCUCGUGUCGUGAGAUGUUGGGUUAAGUCCCGCAACGAGCGCAACCCUUAUUAUCAGUUGCCAGCAUUAAGUUGGGCACUCUGGUGAGACUGCCGGUGACAAACCGGAGGAAGGUGGGGAUGACGUCAAAUCAUCAUGCCCCUUAUGACCUGGGCUACACACGUGCUACAAUGGAUGGUACAACGAGUUGCGAACUCGCGAGAGUAAGCUAAUCUCUUAAAGCCAUUCUCAGUUCGGAUUGUAGGCUGCAACUCGCCUACAUGGAGUCGGAAUCGCUAGUAAUCGCGGAUCAGCAUGCCGCGGUGAAUACGUUCCCGGGCCUUGUACACACCGCCCGUCACACCAUGAGAGUUUGUAACACCCAAAGUCGGUGGGGUAACCUUUUAGGAACCAGCCGCCUAAGGUGGGACAGAUGAUUAGGGUG